GACGAACGUUGGCGGCGUGCUUAAUACAUGCAAGUCAACUGAAGCAGUGGUAGCAAUAUCGCUGUGGAGGUGGCGCACGGGUGAGUAACACGUAGGUAAUCUGCCUUCAGGUCUGGCAUAACUCCGGGAGACCGGGGCUAAUAGCAGAUGAUGCAGCGGCUCGACAUCGAGACAGUUGUUAAAGCUAUGGCGCCUGAAGAUGAGCCUGCGUCUGAUUAGCUAGUUGGCGGGGUAACGGCCCACCAAGGCAACGAUCAGUAGCUGGUCUGAGAGGAUGAUCAGCCACACUGGAACUGAGACACGGUCCAGACUCCUACGGGAGGCAGCAGUAAGGAAUAUUGCUCAAUGGGAGAAAUCCUGAAGCAGCAACGCCGCGUGAGGGACGAAGGGCUUUUGCUUGUAAACCUCUGUAGUGAGAGAAAAAAAUCCCAAUCUUUGGGACAUGAUGGUAUCUCAAAAGUAAGCCCCGGCUAACUACGUG
Molecule: ribosomal RNA, 481 nt
Filed under: uncultured bacterium
Lineage: Bacteria
Description: partial 16S ribosomal RNA
Rfam family: Bacterial small subunit ribosomal RNA
Source: RNAcentral